Molecule: long non-coding RNA, 728 nt
Filed under: Chlamydomonas reinhardtii
Lineage: Eukaryota; Viridiplantae; Chlorophyta; Chlorophyceae; Chlamydomonadales; Chlamydomonadaceae
Description: long non-coding RNA (CREI_LNC000836)
Source: RNAcentral
GAGUUACUGUUACAUGGCAUGGCUGCCUGGAUACCGCCAACGCCUAGCGUCAGCGGCUGCGGCAGCGUUUCAUGACUAAGCACAGCAACCUUUCGUCAGCCCAAGCCACCACCCCGCUUUCCCCGCCUGCUACACCUGUCCCUAAACCUCCAUCCUAACCCGUUCCCCGCCUUCCGCUCCUCCCUUCCUCCCCAACAGCACGGCUGGCACGCCAAGUGGACUGUCGCCACCCUGCCCUACAACGAGACCGGCGGCGAGGCUGUGUGGGACCUGCAGACCGCGGAUGAGGUGACCGACGCCAUCCUCUACCCCGAAGUCUGCGUCAUCUGCACCUUCCCCGACGGCUCAACCGACUACUGCCAGUGCGACCGCCGCAACGGUGCCACCAACUACCUGUCAGUCGAGACCAUCGUACAGGACUCCAUCACUCCCGCCAUGCGCGCCGCCGCCAUCGCGCUCUCCGUCUUCUCGCCGCUCUUCCUCAUCUUCUACGCCACUGCCGACACGCUCUAUUUCCGCAACACGGGUAAAUCGCUGCGCAUCGGCCACAUCUAAAGGAUUCGAGCUAGGCACCAGUUGCUGUAGCUGCUAUACGGUGUUUGGCUUUUGUGCCGGCUGCUUUUGUGCCGGUGGGGGCUAGUUGGGCACAGCCUGUUGUUGUGUUGGGACGGCUGGAGACCUGCAAUCCAUGCGUUGUGCCGCCGGGAAACCGGUGUGUGGAGGGAGCG